AUUUAUAUAGUUUAUUAAAACAUUUUAUUUUCAUUAAAAAAAUGGUUACCAACCUAUAAAUU
This 62-nucleotide transfer RNA is filed under the name Graphocephala sp. EMHAU-2015-Zz052315. RNAcentral's name for it is "tRNA-Glu". The record is from RNAcentral. Lineage: Eukaryota; Metazoa; Arthropoda; Insecta; Hemiptera; Cicadellidae.